Molecule: ribosomal RNA, 468 nt
Filed under: uncultured bacterium
Lineage: Bacteria
Description: partial 16S ribosomal RNA
Rfam family: Bacterial small subunit ribosomal RNA
Source: RNAcentral
GACGAACGCUGGCGGCGUGCCUAACACAUGCAAGUCGAACGGACAGGCCCUGCUUUUGCGGGGUGCUCGAGUGGCGAACGGGUGAGUAACACGUGAGUAACCCGCCCCUGACUUUGGGAUAACUUCAGGAAACUGGGGCUAAUACCGGAUAGGAUCUCUUGCUGCAUGGUGGUGGUUGGAGAGUUUCGGCGGUUGGGGAUGGACUCGCGGCUUAUCGGCUUGAUGGUGGGGUAGUGGCUUUCCAAGGCUUUGAGGGAUAGCCGGCCUGAGAGGGGAAACGGGGACAUUGGGACUGAGAUACGGCCCAGACUGCUACGGGAGGCAGCAGUGGGGAAUAUUGCGCAGCAGGCGGAAGCCAGAGGCAGCGGCGCCCGGUGCGGGAUGACGGCCUACGGGUUGUAAACAGCUUUCGCCUGUGACGAAGCGGGAGUGACGGUAAUGGGUAAAGAAGCACCGGCUAACUACGUG